AUUGGUCAUCCAAAAGAAAAAUGGCCGCAUUUUCUCGAAAAUAACGCCAUUUUUUUGCCACUGUGAACUGUCUUGUACUGUUGUAUUAAUUUUAAAAAUGUUAUUGCCUUUUUUCUUCGGAAAAGAGAUAAUGAAAGA
This 138-nucleotide unclassified non-coding RNA is filed under the name soil metagenome. RNAcentral describes it as "partial internal transcribed spacer 1". The record is from RNAcentral.